AUCCAGCUAACGAGUUCCGAAUAGGACAAAAUGAGCGUCCUGGAU
Molecule: non-coding RNA, 45 nt
Organism: Schistosoma margrebowiei
Lineage: Eukaryota; Metazoa; Platyhelminthes; Trematoda; Strigeidida; Schistosomatidae
Source: Rfam